CAGCUAUAAACUGCUCAGAAGUCCGCAGACUCGUUGAGGAGGGGGCUCACCUUUCACAGACACAGCGUCGUUUCAAAGAGAAUAAGAACAACAGUCAGAAGUUAAAAACCUGACCGAGCCCCGCAGAGUUGUUCUUCACUUAUUUAAAUGGUGUUGGGCACUCGUUGACGAUUCAGAAAAUGCCUUGACCAGUCUGCACCCAGCUACCUCCAGACCCUCAUCUCUCCCUACACCCCCACUCGACCUCUCCGCUCCGCCUACACUAGAAGACUGGCUCUACCUCCUCUACGCUCCCCUGCCUCCAGAGCCCGCUCCUUCUCCACCCUCGCCC
Molecule: long non-coding RNA, 331 nt
Organism: Acipenser ruthenus (sterlet)
Lineage: Eukaryota; Metazoa; Chordata; Actinopteri; Acipenseriformes; Acipenseridae
Exons: 3
Source: RefSeq, a predicted model, not a curated record